Molecule: unclassified non-coding RNA, 282 nt
Filed under: uncultured Glomus
Lineage: Eukaryota; Fungi; Glomeromycota; Glomeromycetes; Glomerales; Glomeraceae
Description: sequence contains 18S rRNA gene
Rfam family: Eukaryotic small subunit ribosomal RNA
Source: RNAcentral
AGCGGCCGCGGUAAUUCCAGCUCCAAUAGCGUAUAUUAAAGUUGUUGCAGUUAAAAGCUCGUAGUUGAAUUUCGGGAUCAAUACGUCGGUCGUGCUUCGGUACGUACUGGCGUAAUUGAUUUCUCCCUUCUGACGAACCAUGAUGUCAUUAACUUGGUGUCAUGGGAAAUCAGGACUGUUACUUUGAAAAAUUGAGUGUUUAAAGCAGGCUCACGCUUGAAUACAUUAGCAUGGAAUAAUGAAAUAGGACGUUCGAUCCUAUUUUGUGGUUUUAGGAUCAAC